AUACAUGCUGUGGUGCACUCCUGCUCUUCUGAAGUUUUCUGUUGAUUUUUUCCAUGGAUCAACAAUUACUAGUUUCCAUAAAAAGUUGAAUUAGGUUUUCUACCUUGAUACUGACAGUAAAUUUUCCAUUUCCUCUUCGACCUGAAAAUAGUUUUGGAAAGUUUUAUACCCUUACAGAAUUAAAUCAAAAUAGAAAUCGUGAAAGGCCAUAUGCAUAUUUUGUGUUAUAUGGAAUAUCUUUUGUUCUGGAAUACCUGUAUAAUCAUGUUUGACACAUUGCAUACUUAAUGUUUAAUCCUUGUUCAUAUGGGAUAAUUUGCUCCCCAUUGUUGGAAAUAUUUUAUAUUCACUGCUACCAUUUGUGGGAAUUUCAUUUGUACAUGAAGUAGUGGGCUUUAUCCGUGUACCAUAAAGGGAUUUGUUUCAUCCUCCAGUCACCCUAGUGAAGUAAUAGGUUAUAGGUUUCCUUCUCUUGCUCUCAACAGUGAAUUGUUCAUGAUACUGCCUAUCCUCAAUUUCUAUAUUUGCAAGAGGGUGAAUAAAAAAAAAAAAUCCAAAUCUUACCCACAUUUUCAAUUGUUGCCAUUUCUUAUAAAAUUUUCAAGGGGUCAAUGAACUUUAGAAUUUAUAACAAUGGUAAUUACCUUCUAGUUUAUCUCUAGGGUGUGUGCCCUGCUGACAUAGCGUAUUUUAAUGGUUUUUAAACCUGACCAGGAUGAUAUCUAUUUCAAAAAGUGAGGGCAAAGUGAGAGAAAUUUUCUUUUAGUUUUCCAUUUUCUUGCCCAUAAUCUUUAUAUAUA
Molecule: unclassified non-coding RNA, 800 nt
Filed under: Hevea brasiliensis (rubber tree)
Lineage: Eukaryota; Viridiplantae; Streptophyta; Magnoliopsida; Malpighiales; Euphorbiaceae
Source: RNAcentral